CCCUUAGAUGUCCUGGGCUGCACGCGCGCUACACUGAUGUGUCCAGUAAGCACCUAACCUCUUCCGAAAGGAACGGGUAACCUUUGCAAAGCACAUCGUGAUGGGGAGAGAUUAUUGCAAUUAUUAGUCUUGAACGAGGAAUUCCUAGUAAGCACAAGUCAUCAGCUUGUGUUGAUUACGUCCCUGCCCUUUGUACACACCGCCCGUCGCUCCUACCGAUUGAAUGUUCCGGUGAGCUCUUCGGACUGCGCGGUCUGCAGUUUCUGCGUUCCGUGCGGAAAGUUGCGCAAACCUUAACAUUUAGAGGAAGGAGAAGUCGUAACA
RNAcentral lists this ribosomal RNA (324 nucleotides) under uncultured eukaryote. RNAcentral describes it as "partial 18S ribosomal RNA". It matches the Rfam family "Eukaryotic small subunit ribosomal RNA", at positions 1470 to 1796 of the family's 1831-position model. The record is from RNAcentral.